Molecule: long non-coding RNA, 816 nt
Organism: Strongylocentrotus purpuratus (purple sea urchin)
Lineage: Eukaryota; Metazoa; Echinodermata; Echinoidea; Camarodonta; Strongylocentrotidae
Exons: 3
Source: RefSeq, a predicted model, not a curated record
CAGGAGAUCGGACCAAUACAUCUUAAUUCCUUCAACAAGAGAGGCAGUCCUGCAGAGUGCAGACCCAACAUGAAUUUUAUAAUUACUGCCAUUUCCCUGGCGUUAAUAUGGUCGGUGCUAUUGAUUGCACCCACAUAGGCAUCUUCAAGCCAGUUGGCCCAACACCAGUUAUUUCCUGAACAGGAAAAAUAGAUACUCCAUUUUUCUUGGAAAGUCUGCUGGAUGAUGUUCUUCUUCAGUAAAAUAAAUGAAGGCAAAUUCCCUGAUAAAUGAGACAAAUUCAGAGAGAGGAAGGAGAACUACUGAGCUGCUGAAUUUCUGACAGACAUACUUGCAAGGACUAUGAAGUUCUACUUAGCCUCUUCAAUGAACCAGACUCUAUCUGCUGUAACUGUGACUGCAUGGGAAUCAAAACCUUUUUAUUAUGAUCCUCAUAACAUGAAGCUAACAAACAAGCAACCAUUGAUAAAAAGCCAGAUAUGUCCUUGUUGUGUGUGUGAACCACAAAGCAACCAUCGCUCAUAAGGAUGUUUUUAUAUACAUCAGAUGUUCAUUGUUUCACUGGAAAAAUUGUGAUUUUUUAGUUAUUUAAGAAAUCAUGUUUUAUAAUGUGUUUUAUAAUAUAGUGCAAGUCAUGAUAUAACAGAUUCCCUGCAAAAGAAAGACGGCUCAAAAGAAGACUAUGCUUUGUUUUUAAAAAUGGGAAAAAGUAAUGUAACAAAUGUAUAACUUUGAAUUCUAAUAAUUUCAAAUAGCAGAUUAUGAGGCUAUUGGAGCUUAAUAUUUGACCUUCAAUUUUAUAAUCGUAUUCAUCGU